UAUUUUAUAAGAAAUAUUCUUGGAAAAUCUAAACUACCUUUUCCUUUCCUCUUCUGCUUUUCCAAAGAGAACAUUUUCCUCAUAUUAUUUGCUGAGCAAUUCUCAAUUACGAAAAAAUGGUCACUUGUGGAAGAAAGAAGUCCUUUUUUAGUUGGACAACUUGUUUAGAAAUUGAAAAGUGUUCAAGCAGAGACUGGUUGACUACUUGCAAACUGUGGGAGGAAUUCCUAUACCAUGGUAUAAAACCAGAUGACUUUCAAGGUUUCUGCCAUUCAUGAAUCCAGAAGAACGGGAGGUGAAGAAGAGGAUGAGGAGGAAGAGGGGAACGAAAAGAAAGGAGACAGGAGAGGAAGAGGAAGAAGGAGAAGACAACUCAAGGGAUCAGGAAUGGGAACUUGCAGGCCAGUGAGUUCCAGGAGGUAUGUGAUUUUAGUCAAGAGGUUAUCACCACAGGGACACCUGGCUGGCUCAGUCAGAAGAGCAUGUGACUCUUGAGCUCGAGGUUGUGAGUUCGAGCCCUAUGUUGGGUGUAGAACUUAAAAAAACUUAAAACUUAAGUUUUAAGUAAAACUUAAAAAAGAAAAAAGAGGUCACCACCACAGAGACUUAGUGCAAAAAGAGGGAACACUGAGAGGAUGAAUCUGAGGUCAGUGUGUGUGACUGCUAGGAAAAUCAGAUGAUAUAGAAAGGACAGAAAGGCACCCUUUCCAAUGAAGCAGAUCCAUUAAUUCAUUUAUUCAACAUAUAUUUGUUAACUGUAUGUACUCUGCACUGUUCCAGGGCACAGCAGUGGACAAAACCACGAAAAAAUCUGCCUUCAUGGACCCGAGGUGUCUGGAAGGCAGAUUCUUUCUGUGUCCAACUUGUUUGUGUGUGAAUGUCCCAGCAAGGCACCCAGGGAAAGAGAGGGGUUUAUUCAUUCUACAAAUAUGUACUGAACGCUUCACAGAUGGCAGACUCUGUGGGAUGCUGGGGAUACGGAAUGAAUCCUUGCCUUCAAGGAGCUCAUGAUCUCCUGGGGAGAGCUCUAUAUCCACUGAGACAUUUGCAGCUCCGUGUGUGGGAGGAAUACCCAAGCUACCUUGGCAACAAAGUGGUGGGGAGUGUUGGGAGUUUGCUUCUGCUUGGAAAUAGAUUUGGUGAUCUUGGAGGACCGUGACGGGAAUUCAAAGCCCGGUUCAGGUCAUUAGCAUGAGUGAAAGAUUCUGCCUGGGCAUCGGGUACCUAAGGUUCAGCUCUAUGCUCUAGGACACUGGGAAGAGUCUGUUCUCCAAAACCUGUCCCCUUACCCUUUUGUCUGCUCUCUCAGCACCGGUAUGUCACUGUUAGAAAUUCAUUUCAUUGCCUCAAUACACUUUUGUUAUUUUGCAUAGCAAGCUAUUGUAUGAAAAGAUAUUUUACAAAUAAAUUCUUUAUCAUUUAA
Molecule: long non-coding RNA, 1423 nt
Organism: Neofelis nebulosa (Clouded leopard)
Lineage: Eukaryota; Metazoa; Chordata; Mammalia; Carnivora; Felidae
Exons: 3
Source: RefSeq, a predicted model, not a curated record